UACGAAGGGGGGCUAGCGUUGCUCGGAUUGACUGGGCGUAAAGGGCGCGUAGGCGGAUAGUACAGUCAGGCGUGAAAUCCCCAGGCUCAACCUGGGAACUGCGUCUGAUACUGGAUGGCUUGAAUCCGGGAGAGGGAUGCAGAAUUCCAGGUGUAGCGGUGAAAUGCGUAGAUAUCUGGAGGAAUACCGGUGGCGAAGGCGGCAUCCUGGACCGGCAUUGACGCUGAGGAGCGAAAGCCAGGGGAGCAAACAGG
This 254-nucleotide ribosomal RNA is filed under the name uncultured bacterium. RNAcentral describes it as "partial 16S ribosomal RNA". It matches the Rfam family "Bacterial small subunit ribosomal RNA", at positions 524 to 776 of the family's 1533-position model. The record is from RNAcentral.